UUCCGGUUGAUCCUGCCAGCGGCCACCGCUAUUGGAAUUCGAUUAAGACAUGCGAGUCGAGAGUCGCAAGGACUCGGCGGACCGCUCAGUAACACGCGGAUAACAUGCCCUUGGGUGGGGGAUAACCUCGGGAAACUGAGAAUAAUACCCCAUAGAUCUAGAAAGCUGGAAUGCUUUUAGAUCGAAAACUCCGGUGCCCAAGGAUUGGUCUGCGGCGUAUCAGGUUGUAGUGGGUGUAACGGACCCCCUAGCCUAUGACGCGUAAGGGCCUUGAGAGAGGGAGCCCUGAGAUGGACUCUGAGACAUGAGUCCAGGCCCUACGGGGCGCAGCAGUCGCGAAAACUUCACAAUGGGGGAAACCCCGAUGAGGGAAUUCCAAGUGCCAGCACAUUGUGUUGGCUGUUCUCUGGUCUAAAAAACCGGAGAAGUAAGGGCCGGGUAAGACGGGUGCCAGCCGCCGCGGUAAUACCCGCGGCCCGAGUGGUGGUCGAUAUUAUUGAGCCUAAAACGUCCGUAGCCGGUUUUGUAAAUCCUUGGGUAAAUCGACCAGCUUAACUGUUCGAAGUCCGGGGAGACUGUAAGACUUGGGAUCGGGAGAGGUGAGAGGUACUUCUGGGGUAGGGGUAAAAUCCUGUAAUCCUAGAAGGACCACCGGUGGCGAAGGCGUCUCACUAGAACGAAUCCGACGGUGAGGGACGAAGCCCUGGGGCGCAAACGGGAUUAGAUACCCCGGUAGUCCAGGGUGUAAACGCUGCGGGCUUGGUGUUGGGGGUCCUUUGAGGGCGCCCAGUGCCGGAGAGAAGUUGUUAAGCCUGCUGCUUGGGGAGUACGUCCGCAAGGAUGAAACUUAAAGGAAUUGGCGGG
Molecule: ribosomal RNA, 864 nt
Filed under: uncultured euryarchaeote
Lineage: Archaea; Methanobacteriati; Methanobacteriota
Description: bacterial SSU rRNA
Rfam family: Archaeal small subunit ribosomal RNA
Source: RNAcentral